RNAcentral lists this ribosomal RNA (497 nucleotides) under uncultured bacterium. RNAcentral's name for it is "partial 16S ribosomal RNA". It matches the Rfam family "Bacterial small subunit ribosomal RNA", at positions 28 to 507 of the family's 1533-position model. The record is from RNAcentral.
GAUGAACGCUGGCGGCGUGCCUAAUACAUGCAAGUCGAGCGAACGGACGAGAAGCUUGCUUCUCUGAUGUUAGCGGCGGACGGGUGAGUAACACGUGGAUAACCUACCUAUAAGACUGGGAUAACUUCGGGAAACCGGAGCUAAUACCGGAUAAUUUUUUGAACCGCAUGGUUCAAAAGUUAAAGACGGUCUUGCUGUCACUUAUAGAUGGAUCCGCGCUGCAUUAGCUAGUUGGUAAGGUAACGGCUUACCAAGGCAACGAUGCAUAGCCGACCUGAGAGGGUGAUCGGCCCCACUGUAACUGAGACACGGUCCAGACUCCUACGGGAGGCAGCAGUAGGGAAUCUUCCGCAAUGGGCGAAAGCCUGACGGAGCAACGCCGCGUGAGUGAUGAAGGUCUUCGGAUCGUAAAACUCUGUUAUUAGGGAAGAACAUAUGUGUAAGUAACUGUGCACAUCUUGACGGUACCUAAUCAGAAAGCCACGGCUAACUACGUG